Molecule: long non-coding RNA, 1482 nt
Organism: Oenanthe melanoleuca
Lineage: Eukaryota; Metazoa; Chordata; Aves; Passeriformes; Muscicapidae
Exons: 3
Source: RefSeq, a predicted model, not a curated record
GGGGAGCCCAGGGCAGGGACCUGCCUCUCCCGAGAGCCGGACCCUGCCGGUGCGGGCCCGUGUGUGCUCAGGCACAAGGAUUCCUGUUUUCUCCUGCCUUCUGUAGUACCAGAAAUGAUGAGCUAAUGCUUUUAGCAAAAUAAGGAUGCUUUUAUGACCUCUGUUUAAUGACUCAGCAUUCCUGGUUUUAAUGAUAAGUAGUCCCAAUAAUAAUGAGGCAACAUCGGAUCUGUGCAGGUCCCGAAGCAGUUAUAAUGAAGGAUUCUCAAGAUGUCUGGCAGCAGUGACUCUGUUAAAGGCAGGUGUUCUCUGGAGAGGCUGCUCGUUCAGCGCCAGCCCUGCAGGGCCAGCAGACGCUGCACACACCAAAGGCGCCGUGCACAGACAGCUCUGCCUAAACCCGGAGUGCCCGGGGAGCUCUGUGUACAAACCUCUGUCGCUGCUCCGAGGAUGCCACAAUGCAGCAAACCAGCCUGUCACCGAGUCACCUGAUUGCACAAUCUCACUGAGAGAGCUGGAGAUGCAGAAAGAUGGAACGUUUUAAAGGGGAAAUGGAGAAUAAUGCAUAGCUAGCCGUCCCUCAGCAACCGAGCUGUGCAAGCUAGGGCAGCGCUGCGUGUGCUGGUGACCUCAAGCUGAAUGAAGAAGCCCACAAUUGCUUUGUAUAAAUUUCAACAGAGCUGAGAAGUAAAAGGGUAAAAUAGCUAAGGCAAUCUUUGAUGUUCUAAGAAGCACCUUUAAAAUACCGUAUCCAAUUAGGCAGUUGGAGAAGACAGCAGCCUGAAGCAGUGCUUAUGCAUUUAUUGUGAAACAGGAUUCUUUAGAAAGCACUGAGGACCAUGCUAGAGAUAUAGUCAAGAAAACGUGAGAGAGAUCAUUGCCCAGUAUGAGACAGCAUGAAUGUUUCACAGCAUGAGAGAAGAGAAUGCCUUAGAAGGAGCAGAGGAAAGGUCAAAGAGAAAGGAAGAAGAGAGCUGAGAGAUACUCACCUACGAGAAGGAGAAAUCAACAGCCAAAGUUGGAUCGGAAAAAAUGAGAAGCACGUGUAGGGAAUACAUAAAUCUGUAUUCUCCUGUCUAGUCACAUCAUGCAGAGAGAGGAAGGAGGAGAUAGCCUCAGGCCUAAAGAAGUUUGAAGUUCAUCACACAGGACUGAAGAAUAUCCAGAAGCCUGGACAAGAAGCCACCUAAUCUCAUCGUGUAUUUCAGCUGCCAUAUACAUGCAUAUGAUAAAGAACAUAUUAAAGUGAUGCACAGGGAGGUUACUGCACUAUUUAAAAAGUAGCUCUUUCCUUCCUCUGUUUUCAGAUCUUGCCGCUGUCCUGGUAGCAGUCUCACGGUAAACACACGAGCCCAACAAAUGUCAGCAGGUCAGGUAGGGUGGGAGCUAAAUGGUCCCAAAUCUUUUUUGAUGACUAAGAAGAGCCAGAUGAAAAAGACUGUCUCUCUACAGAUAUGUUAAAUAAAUAACUACUUCAUUAAA